AUAGCGUAUAUUAAAGUUGUUGCAGUUAAAAAGCUCGUAGUUGAACUUCAGACCUGGCUGGAUGGUCUGCCUAACGGUAUGUACUGUCCGGCUGGGCCUUACCUCUUGGUGAGCCGGCAUGCCCUUCACUGGGUGUGUCGGGGAACCAGGACUUUUACUUUGAAAAAAUUAGAGUGUUCAAAGCAGGCCUAUGCCCGAAUACAUUAGCAUGGAAUAAUAAAAUAGGACGUGCGGUUCUAUUUUGUUGGUUUCUAGGAUCGCCGUAAUGAUUAAUAGGGAUAGUUGGGGGCAUUAGUAUUCAGUUGCUAGAGGUGAAAUUCUUGGAUUUACUGAAGACUAACUACUG
Molecule: ribosomal RNA, 346 nt
Filed under: uncultured eukaryote
Lineage: Eukaryota
Description: SSU rRNA
Rfam family: Eukaryotic small subunit ribosomal RNA
Source: RNAcentral